This 253-nucleotide ribosomal RNA is filed under the name uncultured bacterium. Its description in RNAcentral is "partial 16S ribosomal RNA". It matches the Rfam family "Bacterial small subunit ribosomal RNA", at positions 524 to 776 of the family's 1533-position model. The record is from RNAcentral.
UACGUAGGGUGCAAGCGUUAAUCGGAAUUACUGGGCGUAAAGCGUGCGCAGGCGGUUUUGUGAGUUUGUCGUGAAAUCCCCGGGCUUAACCUGGGAAUUGCGAUGAAGACUGCAAGGCUAGAAUCUGGCAGAGGGGGGUAGAAUUCCACGUGUAGCAGUGAAAUGCGUAGAGAUGUGGAGGAACACCGAUGGCGAAGGCAGCCCCCUGGGUCAAGAUUGACGCUCAUGCACGAAAGCGUGGGGAGCAAACAGG